UGCGUGGUGGAGGAGUUCGGUUUCCUUGUCGGGUUCAUGCCCCGAAGACGCGGGUUCGAAUCCCGCCCACGCGA
RNAcentral lists this transfer RNA (74 nucleotides) under Mycobacterium intracellulare. RNAcentral describes it as "tRNA-Met". It matches the Rfam family "tRNA". From Rfam's summary of the family: Transfer RNA (tRNA) molecules are approximately 80 nucleotides in length. Their secondary structure includes four short double-helical elements and three loops (D, anti-codon, and T loops). Further hydrogen bonds mediate the characteristic L-shaped molecular structure. tRNAs have two regions of fundamental functional importance: the anti-codon, which is responsible for specific mRNA codon recognition, and the 3' end, to which the tRNAs corresponding amino acid is attached (by aminoacyl-tRNA synthetases). tRNAs cope with the degeneracy of the genetic code in two manners: having more than one tRNA (with a specific anti-codon) for a particular amino acid; and 'wobble' base-pairing, i.e. permitting non-standard base-pairing at the 3rd anti-codon position. The record is from RNAcentral. Lineage: Bacteria; Bacillati; Actinomycetota; Actinomycetes; Mycobacteriales; Mycobacteriaceae.